UACGUAGGCAGCAAGCGUUGUUCGGAGUUACUGGGCGUAAAGAGCGCGUAGGUGGUGCCCUAAGUCUGUUGUGAAAUCUCCCGGCUUAACUGGGAGGGUGCGGUGGAAACUGGGGUGCUUGAGUGUGGGAGAGGUAAGCGGAAUUCCUGGUGUAGCGGUGAAAUGCGUAGAUAUCAGGAGGAACACCGGUGGUGUAGACGGCUUACUGGACCACGACUGACACUGAGGCACGAAAGCGUGGGUAGCAAACAGG
This 253-nucleotide ribosomal RNA is filed under the name uncultured bacterium. RNAcentral's name for it is "partial 16S ribosomal RNA". It matches the Rfam family "Bacterial small subunit ribosomal RNA", at positions 524 to 776 of the family's 1533-position model. The record is from RNAcentral.